UAGAUACCCCACUAUGCCUGGUCUUAAACCUUGACCCAUUACACCCACCCAUCCGCCAGAAUACUACGAGCCAACAGCUUAAAACUCAAGAGACUUGGCGGUGCUCUACACCCACCUAGAGGAGCCUGUUCUAUAAUCGAUAACCCCCGAUAAACCUCACCGUUUCUUGCCUGUCCGCCUAUAUACCGCCGUCGUCAACCAACCCUUUGAAGGGGACACAGUAGGUCUAAUGAUUUAUCAUCAAUACGUCAGGUCAAGGUGUAGCUAAUGAAACGGAAAGAAAUGGGCUACAUUUUCUAAUCCAGAAUACACGAAAAAUUAUUUGAAACCCGAUUAGAAGGAGGAUUUAGCAGUAAAAAGAAACCAACAAGUUCUUUUGAAGCCGGCCCUAGAGCGCGUACAUACCGCCCGUCACCCUCUUCAACUAUUAAACUUCUAUUUUAUAAGCCAUCAUAACAAACUAGAGGAGGCAAGUCGUAACAUGGUAAGCCCACCGGAAGGUGUGCUUGGAAAAAUGUACCUUUAACUAAAAAGUUUACACCUAUUAAUUUAGGACAUUUUUUUAUCCGCCCUCUAGCCUGAACACUACACCCCCACUAACUAACCUGACCCGUUUAAUUUGAACAAAACAUUUUCAACCUUGAGUAUUUGAGACAGAAAGAGAACUCAGAGCAACACCAAUAGUACCGCAAGGGAAAGAUGAAAUAAAAAUGAAAUAACCUAAAAUACACCAAAGCAAAGAUUAAACCUUGUACCUUUUGCAUCAUGAUCAAACUAGACAAUUUGAGCAAAGCGAUCUUUAGUUCACAACCCCGAACCUGGGUGAGCUACUCCAAGACAACUAAUGAGUUAACCCGUCUCUGUGGCAAAAGAGUGGGACGAUCUUAGAGUAGAGGUGACAUGCCUAUCGAACCCAGUGAUAGCUGGUUACUCAGGAAAAGAAUAUUAGUUCUCCCUUAAGAACCUUUUAGCACUAACAAGCAAACAAAUUCUUAAGACUUAUUCAAUAAGGGUACAGCCUUACUGAAAAAGGACACAACCUCGACUUUAGGUUAAUGACCCCCCCCCCAAAAAAAACAGACUAAGUCGGCUUAAAAGCAGCCACCUUAAAAAAGCGUCAAAGCUUAAUCUAUGGACCUUAAAAUCCCCCAACCCUAUCACAACCCAACAAUACUACUGAGUUAUCCUAUACUUUUAUAGGAGUAUUUAUGUCUGAACUAGUAACACAGAAAAACUUUCUCCUACUUGUUAGUGUAAAUCAAAUCGAAUACCUCAUUGAUAAUUAUUCAGCCAGAAUUUAAUGUAACAACCCCUACCUCGAAAACCCUACUAAUCAAACUGUUAAUCUCACACAAGGAUAAGAAGGAAAGAUUUAAAAACCCGGAAGGAACUCGGCAUACACUAGUCCCGCCUGUUUACCAAAAACAUCACCUUUUGACUUAUAUAAAAGGUAACGCCUGCCCAGUGACACCUGUUCAACGGCCGCGGUAUUUUGACCGUGCGAAGGUAGCGUAAUCACUUGUCUUCUAAAUAAAGACCAGUAUGAACGGCGCCACGAGAACUAAACUGUCUCCCCCCUUUAAUCAGUGAAACUGAUCUCCCCGUGCAGAAGCGGGGAUAAACACAUAAGACGAGAAGACCCUGUGGAACUUUAAAUUUAUUGUCACUUAAUACCCUCUUAACCUUAACAAAAACACAAAACUUGAUUUAAAUUUUCAGCUGGGGCGUCUGUGGAGAAAAAAUCACCCUCCACGAAGAAUUAAAUCUGAGAACUACUACUCUAAGAAUUAAUACCCUUAACUCUACUUGACCCAAUUUUAUUGAUCAACGGACCAAGUUACCCCAGGGAUAACAGCGCAAUCCACUUCUAGAGUCCAUAUCGACAAGUGGGCUUACGACCUCGAUGUUGGAUCAGGGCAUCCUGGUGGUGCAGCCAUACUAAAGGUCGUUGUCACCGAUAAG
Molecule: unclassified non-coding RNA, 1962 nt
Filed under: Leptobrachella parva (Gunung Mulu Borneo frog)
Lineage: Eukaryota; Metazoa; Chordata; Amphibia; Anura; Megophryidae
Description: partial contains 12S ribosormal RNA and 16S ribosormal RNA
Rfam family: Bacterial large subunit ribosomal RNA (bases 647-1962)
Source: RNAcentral